AUCAGAGUAGGAAAUAAAGCGUCAAGUGCUGGAGGGAUGGGAUGUUGUCCUCUGGACGAAAGACUUUGGUCUGCGGUUUUAUUUUCGCAUUCGCUGCA
This is a non-coding RNA of Enterococcus sp. 3H8_DIV0648, 98 nucleotides long. The record is from Rfam. Lineage: Bacteria; Bacillati; Bacillota; Bacilli; Lactobacillales; Enterococcaceae.